UAGGGAAUCUUCCACAAUAGACGAAAGUCUGAUGGAGCAACGCCGCGUGAGUGAAGAAGGGUUUCGGCUCGUAAAACUCUGUUGUUAAAGAAGAACAUAUCUGAGAGUAACUGUUCAGGUAUUGACGGUAUUUAACCAGAAAGCCACGGCUAACUACGUGCCAG
RNAcentral lists this ribosomal RNA (164 nucleotides) under uncultured bacterium. Its description in RNAcentral is "partial 16S rRNA". It matches the Rfam family "Bacterial small subunit ribosomal RNA", at positions 355 to 511 of the family's 1533-position model. The record is from RNAcentral.